AGUAACGCGUGAGGAGCCUGCCUCAAAGAGGGGGACAACAGUUGGAAACGGCUGCUAAUACCGCAUAAGCCCACGGCUCGGCAUCGAGCAGAGGGAAAAGGAGCAAUCCGCUUUGAGAUGGCCUCGCGUCCGAUUAGCUAGUUGGUGAGGUAAUGGCCCACCAAGGCAACGAUCGGUAGCCGGACUGAGAGGUUGAACGGCCACAUUGGGACUGAGACACGGCCCAG
This 227-nucleotide ribosomal RNA is filed under the name uncultured bacterium. Its description in RNAcentral is "partial 16S ribosomal RNA". It matches the Rfam family "Bacterial small subunit ribosomal RNA", at positions 109 to 334 of the family's 1533-position model. The record is from RNAcentral.